AGCAGACUUGGCGCUAUGGAGGAGCCCUGGGCUACCCCUCAGCCUUACUUGAGGCUGGUACUGGAGAUGCUAUGCAGGGUUGUGGCAGCACUGCGUCAAAGUAUGGGAGCAGAUUCUAAUUCUUAUGGUUUUCCAUGGGAAUAGGUGAUAGGGGCAGCUAUUUUUGGAUUUUUUGCUGUUCCCUUUUUUUUGUGGAGAGGUUUUAGAUCGGUUAGGAAUCGGCUUUAUGUGGGAAGAGAGAAAAAGCUUGCUGAAAUGCAUUCUAGACUAAUUGAAAAAAAUGUAAACUACAAGAAAAAUUUAGUGUUAUUGAAAAAGAGCAUGAAGACUAUGAAGUCGAGUCAUCUUUACAGGAUCCCAGCUUUGAGACGGAAGCAACAGAAGCACAAAGUUUGGAGGCAACCCGUGAAAAGCUGAACAGGUCCAAUGCAGAACAUGAGGAUGAAAUACUCUGUCUAGUAAAAGAGUUAAAAGAAGAGAAAUCCAAACAGUCUGAACAAAAUGAACUGAUGGCAGAUAUUUCAAAAAGGAUAUAGUCUCUAGAAGAUGAGUCAAAAUCCCUCGAAUCACAAGUAGCUGAAGCCAAAAUGAUCUUCACGACUUUAUUUCAAAUGAAUGAAGAACAACUGAAGAUAGCAAUAAAAGAUGCUUUGGAUGAAAAUUCUCAACUUCAGGAAAGCCAGAAACAACUUUUGCAAGAAGCUGAAGUAUGGAAAGAACAAGUGAGUGAACUUAAUAAACAGAAAGUAGCAUUGGAAGACUCCAAAGUACACGCAGAACAAGUUCUCAGUGAUAAAGACAAUCACAUCAAGACUCUGACUGAACGCCUGCUAAAGAUGAAAGAUUGGGCUGCUACGCUUGGAGAAGACAGAACGGAUGGUGAUAACUUGGAGUUAGAAAUGAACAGUGAAUUGGAAAAUGGUGCUUACUUAGAUCAUCCUCCAAAAGGAGCUUUGAAGAAACUGAUUCAUGCUGCUAAGUUCAAUGCUUCUUUAAAAAGUUUAGAAGGAGAAAUAAAUCAAAUUUACAUCCAGUCAUCUGAAGUUGAUAAAAUGAAGGAAGAGCUUACAGAGUGUAUUAAAAAUCUUGAGACUGAACAAGUAUCUUUGCAGUCAGAAAACACACAUUUUUAAGGUGAGAAUCAGAAGCUUCAACAGAAACUUAAAGUAAUGACUGAAUUAUAUCAAGAAAAUGAAAUGAAACUCUACAGGAAAUUAACAACAUAGGAAAAUUACCAGGUAGAGACAGAAGAGAAACUUUCUAAAGUAGACAAAAGGAUCAGCCAUGCCACUGCAAAGCUGGAGACCUACAGAAAGCGAGCCAAAGAUCUUGAAGAAUUGGAGAAAACGUUACAUUAUUAUCAAGGGCACAUUAUUUCCUAUGAGAACAAAGCACAGGAUAAUUGGUUCGCAGCUUGAACUGCUGAAAGACAUCUCAAAGAUUUAAGGAAA
RNA transcript from Sapajus apella (tufted capuchin), 1451 nucleotides. It is a transcript of the gene named melanoma inhibitory activity protein 2-like, with no coding region annotated. The record is from RefSeq and is a predicted model, not a curated record. The transcript has a single exon. Lineage: Eukaryota; Metazoa; Chordata; Mammalia; Primates; Cebidae.